Molecule: ribosomal RNA, 253 nt
Filed under: uncultured bacterium
Lineage: Bacteria
Description: partial 16S ribosomal RNA
Rfam family: Bacterial small subunit ribosomal RNA
Source: RNAcentral
UACGAAGGGGGCUAGCGUUGCUCGGAAUUACUGGGCGUAAAGGGCGCGUAGGCGGCACUGUUAGUCAGGCGUGAAAUUCCUGGGCUCAACCUGGGGACUGCGCUUGAUACGGCAGAGCUUGAGGAUGGAAGAGGGUCGCGGAAUUCCCAGUGUAGAGGUGAAAUUCGUAGAUAUUGGGAAGAACACCGGUGGCGAAGGCGGAGACCUGGUCCAUUACUGACGCUGAGGCGCGACAGCGUGGGGAGCAAACAGG